CUUGUUUGGAAAAUGAAGAUUUUGGAGCCCAGAGCAGGGAACUGAAAGUUACAGGUCUUGAGUGCCUUGCAACUUUGAGCGGCCUGCAGCGGCUGGUAGGGGAGGAGGCUGAGGGCACCAGUGGGAAGAGUGUAGUGGGGCAGGAGGGGCCCGGCUCUGGCUGCCUGUCACUGCCUGUCACUGGUCAUUGACUACCCCGAGGCUCAGGGUCCUGACCCAUAACCUGAGGGGGAAAUGGAUUCUGGGAUCUCUCUUAUUUCCCUAAAGUUUUCAGGUAUUCAAAUUUGAAGUUUCCGUCUCUCCUUACCCCUUACUUAGGUCCGCUGGCGGACGAGCACAUUCCCCAUAUCAACAACCCUCCUGCCGUCACUUGUCACUGCUGAAUGUGGUUUGUCACCCGUCCCAGCCUGCCCUGGUCCGGCUGAAGCAGGAACAUGAGAGAGACCGUGUGGGCUUUCUGUGCGGCACAGACCCAAGAUAAAUGUGGAACCCAGCUCUCCUCCAGCCGGUUGCGGGGUCAUGGUGCGCCCUCUGGUGGCCGGUCUUUUUUAACGGCUUCACCCACCCAGAUGAGCACGCUUGAAGGACCUACCCCUG
This 597-nucleotide long non-coding RNA is filed under the name Mustela putorius furo (domestic ferret). RNAcentral describes it as "lncRNA (ENSMPUG00000024356.1)". The record is from RNAcentral. Lineage: Eukaryota; Metazoa; Chordata; Mammalia; Carnivora; Mustelidae.